RNAcentral lists this unclassified non-coding RNA (372 nucleotides) under fungal sp. Its description in RNAcentral is "partial internal transcribed spacer region". The stretch from base 1 to 46 matches the Rfam family "Eukaryotic small subunit ribosomal RNA", at positions 1786 to 1831 of the family's 1831-position model. Lineage: Eukaryota; Fungi. The record is from RNAcentral.
AAGUCGUAACAAGGUUUCCGUAGGUGAACCUGCGGAAGGAUCAUUAAAACGUAUCCAACGUUAACCAACCGUGAACCUGUUCCUCCCUUGGCCUUGAGAAAUUGGAGCUACGAUUGAAAUUGAGUGGGAUCUUCGGAUCUUUCUUUUGUAGUCACUGACGCUUUCGGGCGUCGACAAUAGUAUCUUGGUUAAGGCUUUUCUUUCUGCUUAGCGCCCUCCAUUCAAAGGCGCGGCAGGGGGAGCUACAUUAAACCCUUAUCACCCUUUUUUGCUAGUUGACUUUUUUAAUGUUAGUUUUUACGAAAGUAGAAAUUACACGUUUCAUUAUUUGAACGUAAAAUACAACUCUUAGCAAUGGAUAUCUUGGUUCUC